This 344-nucleotide ribosomal RNA is filed under the name Rhipicephalus guilhoni. Its description in RNAcentral is "partial 12S ribosomal RNA". The record is from RNAcentral. Lineage: Eukaryota; Metazoa; Arthropoda; Arachnida; Ixodida; Ixodidae.
AGCUUAACAUUGUAAGUAAAUAAUAAUUAUGAAAGCAAAAAAUUAUGGCGGUAUUUUAAGCUUUUCAGAGGAAUUUGCUCUUUAAUGGAUAAAACACCAAAAUCUUACUUAGGUUUGUGAUUUCAAUUUGUAUACCACUAUUAAAACAAUUUAUAACUUUAAUUGUUUAAAUUUAUAAAACUAAAAUAUAUUAAGUCAAGGUGCAGUAAAAAUUUAAGGAUGAAGUGAAUUACAUUACUUUUUAGUGAAAUAAAUUUAUAAUAAUAUUUAGGAUUUGAAAGUAAAAUUAAAAUAGGAUGUUAAUUUGAAUUAAGCUCUAAGAUAUGUACAUAUCGCCCGUCACU